This 561-nucleotide ribosomal RNA is filed under the name uncultured bacterium. Its description in RNAcentral is "bacterial SSU rRNA". It matches the Rfam family "Bacterial small subunit ribosomal RNA", at positions 873 to 1434 of the family's 1533-position model. The record is from RNAcentral.
CUGGGGAGUACGACCGCAAGGUUGAAACUCAAAGGAAUUGACGGGGGCCCGCACAAGCGGAAGAACAUGUGGUUUAAUUCGAUGAUACGCGAGGAACCUUACCCGGGCUCGAACGGUGCAUGAAUGUCAGAGAGAUUUGACAGUCCUUCGGGACAUGUAUCGAGGUGCUGCAUGGUUGUCGUCAGCUCGUGCCGUGAGGUGUCGGCUUAAGUGCCAUAACGAGCGCAACCCUUGUUGACAGUUACCAUCAGGUAAAGCUGGGGACUCUGUCGAGACUGCCACCGUAAGGUGUGAGGAAGGUGGGGAUGACGUCAAAUCAGCACGGCCCUUAUGUCCGGGGCGACACACGUGUUACAAUGGGAGGUACAGAGGGCAGCUAUCCAGUGAUGGAGUGCAAAUCUCAAAAACCUUUCUCAGUUCGGAUUGGAGUCUGCAACUCGACUCCAUGAAGUUGGAUUCGCUAGUAAUCGCGCAUCAGCCAUGGCGCGGUGAAUACGUUCCCGGGCCUUGUACACACCGCCCGUCAAGCCAUGGAAGCUUGGGGUGCUUGAAGUUCGUGAC